GGUGCAAGAGGCGAUCUGGGCUCUAGUGAAAUGUUUGUGCAUUUGUUGAAUGAAGUUGGAUUGCGAUUUUGUGUCUAGGCAAAAUAUGGAGAAAUGGUGGCCACGAUUGGACUCGAACCAACGACCACUACCA
RNAcentral lists this antisense RNA (133 nucleotides) under Helicobacter enhydrae. RNAcentral's name for it is "Helicobacter sp. MIT 01-6242 Bacterial antisense RNA HPnc0260". It matches the Rfam family "Bacterial antisense RNA HPnc0260". The record is from Rfam by way of RNAcentral. Lineage: Bacteria; Pseudomonadati; Campylobacterota; Epsilonproteobacteria; Campylobacterales; Helicobacteraceae.